GCUGCCACCACCAUGCUUCACCAUAAGGAUGGUGCCAGGUUUCCUCCAGACGUGACACUUGGCAUUCAGACCAAAGAGUUCAAUCUUGGUUUCCUCAGACCAGAGAAUCUUGUUUUUCAUGGUCUGAGAGUCUUUAAGUACCUUUUGGCAAACUCCAAGUGGGCUGUCAUGUGCCUUUUACUGAGGAGUGGCUACCGUCUGGCCACUCUACCAUACAUUUCUAAUUUGUUGAGUGCUGCAGAGAUGGUUGUCGUUCUGGAAGUUUGGCCCAUCUCCACAGAGGAACUCUAGAGCUCUAUCAGAAUGACCAUCGGAUUCUUGGUCACCUCACUGACCAAGGCCCUUCUCCCACAAUUUCUCCGUUUGGCCAUGCGGCCAGCACUAGAAAGAAUCUUGGUGUGUCCAAACUUCUUCCAUUUAAGAAUGAUGGAGGCCACUGUGUUCUUCAGGACCUUCAAUGCGGCAGAAUUAUUUUGGUACCCUUCCCCAGAUCCAUGCCUCAACACAAUCCUGUCUCGGCGCUCUACGGACAAUUCCUUUUACCUCAUGGCUUGGUUUUUGCUCUGACAUGCACUGUCAACUGUGGGACCUUAUAUAGAGAGGUGUGUGAUUUCCAAAUCAUGUUCAAUCAAUUGAAUUUACCACAGCUGGACUCCAAUCAAGUUGUAGAAACAUCUCAAGGAUGAUCAAUGGAAACAGGAUGCACCUGAGCUCAAUUUCGAGUCUUAAGCAAAGGGUCUGAAUACUUAUGUAAAUAAGAACCACAAUGGACCGAUGGAGGGACGGAUGGAAGGAUGGUCGGAUGGAUGUACCAUUUGGAAUUGACAAGCUACGAAGAGAACAAGACGUGGGGUGAGGCCCUGGAUUACUGCAGGGAGAAGCACGUUGACCUGGUCUUUGUCCACUCCCAAAGGGUCCAACAGAGAGCUAGGAGGGCCUCC
This 941-nucleotide long non-coding RNA is filed under the name Salmo salar (Atlantic salmon). Its description in RNAcentral is "lncRNA (ENSSSAG00000095481.1)". The record is from RNAcentral. Lineage: Eukaryota; Metazoa; Chordata; Actinopteri; Salmoniformes; Salmonidae.